RNAcentral lists this ribosomal RNA (474 nucleotides) under uncultured bacterium. RNAcentral's name for it is "bacterial SSU rRNA". It matches the Rfam family "Bacterial small subunit ribosomal RNA", at positions 335 to 799 of the family's 1533-position model. The record is from RNAcentral.
ACUCCUACGGGAGGCAGCAGUGGGGAAUAUUGCACAAUGGGGGAAACCCUGAUGCAGCCAUGCCGCGUGUGUGAAGAAGGCCUUCGGGUUGUAAAGCACUUUCAGUAGGGAGGAAGGUAGUGUAGUUAACACCUGCAUUAUUUGACGUUACCUACAGAAGAAGCACCGGCUAACUCCGUGCCAGCAGCCGCGGUAAUACGGAGGGUGCGAGCGUUAAUCGGAAUUACUGGGCGUAAAGCGCAUGCAGGCGGCCUGUUAAGUCAGAUGUGAAAGCCCGGGGCUUAACCUCGGAAUUGCAUUUGAAACUGGCAGGCUAGAGUCUUGUAGAGGGGGGUAGAAGUUUCAGGUGUAGCGGUGAAAUGCGUAGAGAUCUGAAGGAAUACCAGUGGCGAAGGCGGCCCCCUGGACAAAGACUGACGCUCAGAUGCGAAAGCGUGGGGAGCAAACAGGAUUAGAUACCCUGGUAGGAUAGCG